RNAcentral lists this transfer RNA (735 nucleotides) under uncultured Synechococcus sp. RNAcentral's name for it is "16S-23S ribosomal RNA intergenic spacer". The stretch from base 269 to 341 matches the Rfam family "tRNA". The record is from RNAcentral. Lineage: Bacteria; Bacillati; Cyanobacteriota; Cyanophyceae; Synechococcales; Synechococcaceae.
CAGGGAGACAAACAACGAUUUUGAUGUCUGAGUAAUUUUAUUCUUAGGCCAAAAUCCGGUCACCUUAGGUCAAUCGGUACCUCACCUUUGAAGUGACUAAUUCACCACCGAUGUUGAAAAAAGUCAGGGAAAUUCUUAUUUCCUAAACUUUGUCUAGGUCACACCCCAUAAGGAAUGAAACUCCGGGGCCAUUACCUCAGGGGGUUAAAGCGCACCCCUGAUAAGGGUGAGGUCCCUGGUUCAAGUCCAGAAUGGCCCAUUCGGGGUUGGGGGUUUAGCUCAGUUGGUAAAGCGCCUGCUUUGCAAGCAGGAUGUCACGAGUUCGAGUCUCCUAACCUCCACUGACCGACUCAAUCACCAUCUCCAAGAUUGGAGUAUGAGCUCGGAUGGAGUGUGAUUUAGAUGUGUCCGCUGGAUGACCCCAUCUUCCUGUCAUUCCACAGCAAGGAAUGAGUUUCUUGAUUUGGUUGAUAAGAUGCUGGGCUCGAGUUUGGCUGGUGAGAGAUCAUCAGCAAAGUCUGAUGUCUAGCAUAGCUUGACACUGAUAGGUGAAGUCUGGAAAGAAUAAGACAUCUCAUGAAUGCAUCAUGCUAACUUGGAUGAUGUUGAUUGUGAUCAUGAGCGAGACUGCAUGUCGAUCUUGUAGUGUGUCAGCACUCAUAGUUUGAUUCCUUAGUCAUCAUGCAUCGAGAAUUAGACUGUUCAUCGACCGUACGUCUGAUGGCAGAUAAUCGU